RNAcentral lists this ribosomal RNA (424 nucleotides) under Verrucomicrobiota bacterium. RNAcentral describes it as "Verrucomicrobia bacterium partial 16S ribosomal RNA". It matches the Rfam family "Bacterial small subunit ribosomal RNA", at positions 355 to 776 of the family's 1533-position model. The record is from RNAcentral. Lineage: Bacteria; Pseudomonadati; Verrucomicrobiota.
UGAGGAAUAUUGGUCAAUGGACGAGAGUCUGAACCAGCCAAGUAGCGUGCAGGAUGACGGCCCUAUGGGUUGUAAACUGCUUUUGUUUGGGAAUAAUCGACAUUACGUGUAAUGUUUUGCAUGUACCAUUCGAAUAAGGACCGGCUAAUUCCGUGCCAGCAGCCGCGGUAAUACGGAAGGUUCGGGCGUUAUCCGGAUUUAUUGGGUUUAAAGGGAGCGUAGGCCGUUUGGUAAGCGUGUUGUGAAAUGUAGGAGCUCAACUUCUAGAUUGCAGCGAGAACUGUCAGACUUGAGUGCGCACAACGUAGGCGGAAUUCAUGGUGUAGCGGUGAAAAGCUUAGAUAUCAUGAAGAACUCCGAUUGCGAAGGCAGCUUACGGGAGCGCAACUGACGCUGAAGCUCGAAGGUGCGGGUAUCGAACAGG